CAGCCGCCGCGGUAAUACGAAGGGUGCAAGCGUUAAUCGGAAUUACUGGGCGUAAAGCGUGCGUAGGCGGUUUGUUAAGUCUGUUGUGAAAUCCCCGGGCUCAACCUGGGAAUGGCAAUGGAUACUGGCAAGCUAGAGUGUGUCAGGGGAUGGUGGAAUUCCCGGUGUAGCGGUGAAAUGCGUAGAGAUCGGGAGGAACAUCAGUGGCGAAGGCGGCCAUCAGGGACAACACUGACGCUGAGGCACGAAAGCGUGGGGAGCAAACAGGAUUAGAUACCCCCGUAGUCCCUGUCUCUUAUAA
Molecule: ribosomal RNA, 301 nt
Filed under: uncultured bacterium
Lineage: Bacteria
Description: partial 16S ribosomal RNA
Rfam family: Bacterial small subunit ribosomal RNA
Source: RNAcentral